UGAUGGAGGUCGUGGAUCAGGUGGUAGGAGAGGACGAGGUGGUUGGCGAGGAGGUCGAGAUCAAAGUGGUAGAGGAAGAUCCUUCAAUCAAGGACGGUCUAGUAGCUGGACUACUGAUGGUGAAGAUAAUAAUAAUAAUUCUAAUAAUGUAUCAUUUAAGGGUAACCAGUCUAGUUGGAGUAAUUCACAGGAACAUGGUAAAAAUGUUAAUGAAGACACCAGUGGUCCUAAUAAUCAAUCGUCUGAUUUCCAGAGCACUGGUGGUUGGGGUGCUUCCAAACCAUCAAAUGAUGGAUGGUCUUCUAGUUGGAAUAAAAAUUCAGCCACGACUGAGGUAGGAAGUUCUGGUGGAAACCAGUCAGAUUGGGACAAAAAAUCUGGUGAAGUGGGUGGAGCCGCUGGUUGGGACAACAAGAUUACCCAGAAAGCUUCAGAAGGUAACAACUCUGCAUGGAAUAGCAAAUCUGCAGUCGAACAAGAUGGAAAUGGAAAAAAUCAAAAUGAUCCAUGGAAAAAGACUUCUGAUGGAGAUUCAUCUACUGGAUGGGGUCAAAGUAAUUCGUGGAAGAGUGGAACUAAUGAUGCGGGUGGAACUCAAGAUUCUUGGAGCAGCAAAAGUAACUGGAGUUCUGGAAGUGGC
This 640-nucleotide unclassified non-coding RNA is filed under the name Hevea brasiliensis (rubber tree). The record is from RNAcentral. Lineage: Eukaryota; Viridiplantae; Streptophyta; Magnoliopsida; Malpighiales; Euphorbiaceae.